This 65-nucleotide transfer RNA is filed under the name Oncotympana maculaticollis. RNAcentral's name for it is "tRNA-Ile". RNAcentral also lists the same sequence under 1 other name. Lineage: Eukaryota; Metazoa; Arthropoda; Insecta; Hemiptera; Cicadidae. The record is from RNAcentral.
AAUGAGAUGCCUGAUAAAAGGAUUAUUUUGAUAGAAUAAAUUAUGUAAUUUAUUUACUCUCAUUA